UAUACGCUAAGCUUAAAGCAUAUAUUUGGAGGGGCUUUCAAAACCCAGAUGCAGAGCCCAUUGGACCGACUUCUUUAAGUCUUAAACCAUGUAAUGGAAGUACACACACUAAAAAAAAGGAAAAUAAUGAAAACAAUAAGCCUCUACCAGAAAACCCUAACCGAUCUGCUCCCAUCUUAUUAAAACCCUAGGGCGCCUCUUCUCUCCAGCCAACAACCCUUCCUCUUAAAAAUUUGCUUCAUUAUUUGCCUCUUUGAGUAGCCAUGUGAAUGAAAUCCAAGUUUCGCAAUUGGCUUAGUUAGGAGGCAGAAAUCGAUUCGAAAAACAGAGAUAUCGGGUUCCUGAUGUUUCUGGUCGAUUUAACCAAGGCCUUUUUGAGGGGACUCUUGGCUUCUCUUUCUUCACCCGUUGUCCCCCAAGCAGCCUUGGACAUUUUCCCUAAUUUUUACGAUUUUUUUGGGGGUGAAUAUAAUAAUAUAUAGUGUUAACAAGAAUGCCUCUCGAAUAACCAGAAGGUUAGAUUGUAAUCCGACGCCGUUUGGUUCAGACAGAGGCUGAGAUCAACUCGAACCAGUUUGAGGGUUAGAGUCUGAUUUCCUCUUCAAACUUGCACAAAUAUUAGACCCGGUUGCCAAGGCGGUAUUACAAACCAUUCCAUGUGACAAGCAAGUCCGCCCCUCACCGGACCAUCUCCUCUAUGUUUGCUGUCCCUCCAACCCCAUCGAAUACAGUGUUUCUACUUCGUAUUCGAUGGAGUCCUUUCCCCCUGAGUAACUUAAUUAAUGCCCCUAUCCAUAGGUUCUGAGCAAGACCAUCAAGCAUCUAUAUCUAGAUGUUGUAUUGCAUAUUCGGCUUUUUUAUAAAAAUAAUUUUUAAUUAUAAAAA
Molecule: long non-coding RNA, 885 nt
Organism: Gossypium raimondii (Peruvian cotton)
Lineage: Eukaryota; Viridiplantae; Streptophyta; Magnoliopsida; Malvales; Malvaceae
Exons: 2
Source: RefSeq, a predicted model, not a curated record